GUGUCGCUGCUUGCUGCCCCGGAAGCCGAGCGGGAAACGCGAGGGAGAACCACAGAUUCGUGCGGAGUUGUGUUUUCAUACACACACUCAUGCACGUGGCAGUAAAUCAUUAAAGAGCAGUCUGAGUUUAUGGUAAAGUGCACGUAUGAAAGGUGGAGCAACACUUCCAAUGAUUUAUUCAUUUCGCCUGCGGCCGCUGAGCUUCAGCUGCCCUGAACGUUCUGCAUCAAGGCGAGGUUGGAGGAGGGAGUCCACGGCCGAGAGGAGCAGAGAUGCGAGAGGCGACCUGCCUGUGACCUCUCAGGUCUCUUUCAGCUCAUCUACUCUUCUCAGAGAGGAACCUUCCUAAAUUCUAUUCAGCUGGAGGGUGAAGACGCGAGCGGGUGAACUAAAUGCUGCAGCGUCACGUCACCUUCUGUCAGGAAAUGGCCGGUUUACGUGGCUUGAAGGACACGUGGUGGUAAGAAUAACUCACGUAGGGUAGCUGGCUGGCAGGAAUGUCCACAUGUUUCCAGGGUUCGAGCUCCGCUCCCCCCGGCUGUGUUUUGUGUGGAACCGGAUGUUCAGCUGAGGGGCAGCAGCUGACUCGAGUAGAGACUUAGCGCUGAUUGAUUGCACGUGUGUGUGUGUGUGUGUGUGUGUGACAGAGAACCACAGGGGAUCUAUUUGUUUUGGACAUGAGCGCUUCUCUCGAUGAACAU
Long non-coding RNA from Gasterosteus aculeatus aculeatus (three-spined stickleback), 701 nucleotides. NCBI's taxonomy places the organism in Eukaryota, Metazoa, Chordata, Actinopteri, Perciformes, Gasterosteidae. The record is from Ensembl.